AGCAGCCGCGGUAAUUCCAGCUCCAAUAGCGUAUAUUAAAGUUGUUGCAGUUAAAAAGCUCGUAGUUGAAUUUCGGGGUUAGUAGGCUGGUCAUGCCACCGGUAUGUACUGGUCUUUCUGAUUCCUCCUUCCUGAUGAACUGUAAUGCCAUUAAUUUGGUGUUGCAGGGAAUCUGGACUGUUACUUUGAAAAAAUUAGAGUGUUUAAAGCAGGCUAACGCUUGAAUACAUUAGCAUGGAAUAAUGAAAUAGGACGUUCGAUCCUAUUUUGCUGGUUUCUAGGAUUGACGUAAUGAUUAAUAGGGAUAGUUGGGGGUAUUAGUAUUCAAUUGUCAGAGGUGAAAUUCUUGGAUUUAUUGAAGACUAACUACUGCGAAAGCAUUUGCCAAGGAUGUUUUCAUUAAUCAAGAACGAAAGUUAGGGGAUCGAAGACGAUCAGAUACCGUCGUAGUCUUAACCAUAAGCUAUGCCGACUAGGGAUCGGAUGAUGUUAAUUUUUUAAUGACUCA
RNAcentral lists this ribosomal RNA (508 nucleotides) under uncultured Glomus. Its description in RNAcentral is "SSU rRNA". It matches the Rfam family "Eukaryotic small subunit ribosomal RNA", at positions 569 to 1078 of the family's 1831-position model. The record is from RNAcentral. Lineage: Eukaryota; Fungi; Glomeromycota; Glomeromycetes; Glomerales; Glomeraceae.